GCCAGGAUCGCCACCCGUCAGCGCUGAGCGCCCACGGGUGCUUUUUUG
Molecule: small RNA, 48 nt
Filed under: uncultured Planktomarina sp.
Lineage: Bacteria; Pseudomonadati; Pseudomonadota; Alphaproteobacteria; Rhodobacterales; Paracoccaceae
Description: ffh sRNA
Rfam family: ffh sRNA
Source: RNAcentral